GCUGAAGGCUAAAUGUCUCUUCAAGUGAUAAGGCUUUCCCACAUUAACCGCUUGGCAAAUUAGUCAUAUGUAUUAGCAAUCCGUUCCAGGAGACAGAGUGGAAAAGGGUUGGAGCAACAGCAACAAACACAAAAUACAGAGCCCAGCCGCUGACUGUCUACAUGUAUUACCACCCAUGUAGGAAAUGGGCAAAGUUCCACACAUUAACCAUAUGUUAUCCUGUUUCUUUUGUUUUCCUUAAAACCUCUCUUUGAAAUGAAUGCGGAAUGAGCUCCCUAAGGAGGUUCGCUUGGCACCUACAUUAUAGGCUUUUAGACGCCAGGUGAAGACCUUUUUAUUCUCCCAGCAUUUUAACAGUCUAUAAAUAAAUUUUAACUUGGUGUUUUAAAUUUGUAAUUUUAUCUGGUUGAGCUUUUAUAUUGUAUUUUAUAUUAUGGUUUUAUACUGUUGUUUUAUACUUUGAAUGUUGUUUUAUACUUUGAAGAGCUCCGGCUAUUGGGCGGUUUAGAAAUGUAAUUAAUAAAUAAAUUAAAUAAAUAAAUAAAUAAAUAAAUAAA
Elgaria multicarinata webbii is the source of this 557-nucleotide long non-coding RNA. RefSeq lists it as uncharacterized. The transcript is spliced from 3 exons. The record is from RefSeq and is a predicted model, not a curated record. Lineage: Eukaryota; Metazoa; Chordata; Lepidosauria; Squamata; Anguidae.